Molecule: transfer RNA, 66 nt
Filed under: chicken gut metagenome
Rfam family: tRNA
About the family: Transfer RNA (tRNA) molecules are approximately 80 nucleotides in length. Their secondary structure includes four short double-helical elements and three loops (D, anti-codon, and T loops).
Source: RNAcentral
GGGCGUAGUUCAAUGGUAGAACGGAAGCUUCCCAAGCUUUUAACGCGGGUUCGAUUCCCGUCGCCC